AGCAGCCGCGGUAAUUCCAGCUCCAAUAGCGUAUAUUAAAGUUGUUGCAGUUAAAAAGCUCGUAGUUGAACUUCGGGGUUUACUCAUUGGUCAGGCUUAAUUGUCUGUACUGGUGAGAUGAAUCUCUACCUUCUGAGGAACUUUCAUGCCAUUUAUUUGGUGUGAUUGGAAAUCAGGACUGUUACUUUGAAAAAAUUAGAGUGUUUAAAGCAGGCUAACGUCUGAAUACAUUAGCAUGGAAUAAUGAAAUAGGACGGAUUGGUUCUAUUUCGUUGGUUUCUAGGGUCACCGUAAUGAUUAAUAGGGAUAGUUGGGGGCAUUAGUAUUCAAUUGUCAGAGGUGAAAUUCUUGGAUUUAUUGAAGACUAACUACUGCGAAAGCAUUUGCCAAGGAUGUUUUCAUUAAUCAAGAACGAAAGUUAGGGGAUCGAAGACGAUCAGAUACCGUCGUAGUCUUAACCAUAAACUAUGCCGACUAGGGAUCGGACGAAGUUAAUUAAUAAUGACGCGUUCGGCACCUU
This 520-nucleotide unclassified non-coding RNA is filed under the name uncultured Diversispora. RNAcentral describes it as "SSU rRNA". It matches the Rfam family "Eukaryotic small subunit ribosomal RNA", at positions 569 to 1089 of the family's 1831-position model. Lineage: Eukaryota; Fungi; Glomeromycota; Glomeromycetes; Diversisporales; Diversisporaceae. The record is from RNAcentral.